GUUCCAGGUUGGGUAGUGGUUCCAGGUUGGAUGGUGUUUCCAGGUUGGGUGGUGUUUCCAGGUUCCAGGUUGGGUGGUGGUUCCAGGAUGGAUGGUGUUUCCAGGUUCCAGGUUGGAUGGUGUUUCCAGGUUCCAGGUUGGAUGGUGUUUCCAGGUUCCAGGUUGGGUGGUGUUUCCAGGUUGGAUGGUGUUUCCAGGUUCCAGGUUGGAUGGUGUUUCCAGGUUCCAGGUUGGAUGGUGUUUCCAGGUUCCAGGUUGGAUGGUGUUUUCAGGUUCCAGGUUGGAUGGUGUUUCCAGGUUCCAGGUUGGAUGGUGUUUCCAGGUUCCAGGUUGCAUGGUGUUUUCAGGUUCCAGGUUGGAUGGUGUUUUCAGGUUCCAGGUUGGAUGGUGUUUCCAGGUUCCAGGUUGGAUGGUGUUUCCAGGUUCCUGGUUGGAUGGUGUUUCCAGGUUCCAGGUUGGAUGGUGGUUCCAGGUUCCAGGUUGGAUGGUGUUUUCAGGUUCCAGGUUGGAUGGUGUUUCCAGGUUCCAGGUUGGAUGGUGUUUCCAGGUUCCUGGUUGGAUGGUGUUUCCAGGUUCCAGGUUGGAUGGUGGUUCCAGGUUCCAGGUUGGAUGGUGUUUUCAGGUUCCAGGUUAGAUGGUGUUUCCAGGUUCCAGGUUGGGUGGUGUUUCCAGGUUCCAGGUUGGGUGGUGUUUUCAGGUUCCAGGUUGGGUGGUGUUUCCAGGUUCCAGGUUGGGUGGUGGUUCCAGGUUGGGUGGUGGUUCCAGGUUCCAGGUUGGAUGGUGUUUCCAGGUUCCAGGUUGGGUGGUGUUUCCAGGUUCCAGGUUGGGUGGUGUUUUCAGGUUCCAGGUUGGGUGGUGUUUUCAGGUUCCAGGUUGGGUGGUGUUUUCAGGUUCCAGUUUAGGUGGUGUUUUCACGUUCCAGGUUCGGGGGAUGUUUCCAGGUUCCAGGUUGGGUGGUGGUUCCAGGUUCCAGGUUGGAUGGUGUUUCCAGGUUGGAUGGUGUUUUCAGGUUCCAGGUUGGAUGGUGUUUCCAGGUUGGAUGGUGUUUCCAGGUUCCAGGUUGGAUGGUGUUUUCAGGUUCCAGGUUGGAUGGUGUUUCCAGGUUCCAGGUUGGAUGGUGUUUCCAGGUUCCAGGUUGGGUGGUGUUUCCAGGUUCCAGGUUGGGUGGUGGUUCCAGGUUGGAUGGUGGUUCCAGGUUGGAUGGUGGUUCCAGGUUCCAGGUUGGGUGGUGUUUCCAGGUUCCAGGUUGGGUGGUGUUUUCAGGUUCCAGGUUGGGUGGUGUUUCCAGGUUCCAGGUUGGAUGGUGUUUCCAGGUUCCAGGUUGGGUGGUGUUUUCAGGUUCCAGGUUGGGUGGUGUUUUCAGGUUCCAGGUUGGGUGGUGUUUUCAGGUUCCAGGUUGGAUGGUGUUUCCAGGUUGGGUGGUGUUUUCAGGUUCCAGGUUGGAUGGUGUUUCCAGGUUCCAGGUUGGAUGGUGUUUCCAGGUUCCAGGUUGGAUGGUGUUUUCAGGUUCCAGGUUGGAUGGUGUUUCCAGGUUGGGUGGUGUUUUCAGGUUCCAGGUAGGAUGGUGUUUCCAGGUUCCAGGUUGGAUGGUGUUUCCAGGUUCCAGGUUGGGUGGUGUUUCCAGGUUCCUGGUUGGAUGGUGUUUCCAGGUUCCAGGUUGGAUGGUGUUUCCAGGUUCCAGGUUGGAUGGUGUUUCCAGGUUCCAGGUUGGAUGGUGUUUCCAGGUUCCAGGUUGGGUGGUGUUUCCAGGUUGGGUGGUGUUUCCAGGUUCCAGGUUGGGUGGUGUUUUCAGGCUCCAGGUUGGGUGGUGUUUCCAGGUUCCAGGUUGGAUGGUGUUUCCAGGUUCCAGGUUGGAUGGUGUUUCCAGGUUCCAGGUAGGAUGGUGUUUUCAGGUUCCAGGUUGGAUGAUGUUUUCAGGUUCCAGGUUGGAUGGUGUUUCCAGGUUGGGUGGUGGUUCCAGGUUCCAGGUAGGAUGGUGUUUCCAGGUUCCAGGUUGGGUAGUGGUUCCAGGUUGGAUGGUGUUUCCAGGUUGGGUGGUGUUUCCAGGUUCCAGGUUGGGUGGUGUUUCCAGGUUCCAGGUUGGGUGGUGGUUCCAGGUUGGAUGGUGUUUCUAGGUUCCAGGUUGGGUGGUGGUUCCAGGUUCCAGGUUGGGUGG
This 2155-nucleotide long non-coding RNA is filed under the name Salmo salar (Atlantic salmon). Its description in RNAcentral is "lncRNA (ENSSSAG00000102793.1)". Lineage: Eukaryota; Metazoa; Chordata; Actinopteri; Salmoniformes; Salmonidae. The record is from RNAcentral.